AUUUACAGCACAUGUUCCAAUAACAUGUAUGUAUCUUCUAAGUCUGAAUAGAAAUUGUCAUCUUCAUGAUUUUAGAAUGUCCUGACGGUAGAUUUGGCCUUAAUUGUCUACAUGAAUGCCACUGUCAGAAUCUGGAGCCCUGUGACAAACACACAGGCAAAUGUACUCAUUGCUAUGAUGGUUGGAUCGGAAAGGCAUGUCAACAAAGUAAGUCAUACAUAUAAAUUCUAUUUGAUGGAAAACAUGCACAAAACAUUAUUUAUUUAUUUUGUUGAAGAUAAUACUGUAAAAGCAGAAAUUUUCGUGGAGGAUCUAAUUUCGUUUAUUUCAAGGAAAGAAUAUAUCCACGAAAUUAAGACCCCCACUAGUAUAUAAGAAGUAAAAAAAAACUUUUUUUUUAUAGUAUUUCUUGUUUGUUUAUGACAGCCUCAUUUAGUUUUGUAUUUAUAAAAACGAAUUUUACAACACAUUUUAUACAAGGUCUAUACAUACAUGUGAGAUAGAUAAAUCUAUAAUUAAAAAAACUUAUUAGUUAUAAUUGAACAGUUUUCAAAUACUUCAUCUAUAAAUAGAUCCACCAGAAAACAUUAAUUUUACUCUUUUAUAUAUUUAUUGACAGAAUGUGAAGUUGGUAGAUAUGGAACUAAUUGUAAUAAGACUUGUUUGAAAUGUAAAGAAAAUUUGUGUGAUCAUGAGACAGGACAAUGUCUGCAUGGAUGCAAAACAGGCUGGGAAGGAUACCUUUGUAAUACAAGUAGGUACAGUAGCGUACAAAUGUUAGAACAAUAAAUAAUUUAUUGUAAAAGACAAGACAUGUUUUAAUGUGUCGAAUGCAAUAUUUACAAUUAUGCAUUAGUAGUAGAUUAAACAGCAGAUAAUGAGCUUAACUAUAGCUACAUUAAAGGGUCUUGAAUGGUUUAUGUCUUACUAUUCUUGCUAUGUUAAGUAACGAGAAUCAACAA
This 962-nucleotide long non-coding RNA is filed under the name Mytilus galloprovincialis (Mediterranean mussel). The record is from RNAcentral. Lineage: Eukaryota; Metazoa; Mollusca; Bivalvia; Mytilida; Mytilidae.